CGGCUAACUCCGUGCCAGCAGCCGCGGUAAUACGGAGGGUGCAAGCGUUAUCCGGAUUUAUUAGGUUUAAAGGGUCCGCAGGCGGGCCUAUAAGUCAGUGGUGAAAUCCUGCAGCUUAACUGUAGAACUGCCAUUGAUACUGUAGGCCUUGAGUUCAGACGAGGUAGGCGGAAUAUAUAGUGUAGCGGUGAAAUGCUUAGAUACUAUAUAGAACACCGAUUGCGAAGGCAGCUUACUAGACUGUAACUGACGCUCAUGGACGAAAGUGUGGGGAGCGAACAGGAUUAGAUACCCUGGUAGUCCACACCGUAAACGAUGAUUACUAGUUGUUGGCGAUACAAUGUCAGUGACUGAGCGAAAGCAUUAAGUAAUCCACCUGGGGAGUACGUUCGCAAGAAUGAAACUCAAAGGAAUUGACGGGGGCCCGCACAAGCGGAGGAACAUGUGGUUUAAUUCGAUGAUACGCGAGGAACCUUACCCAGGCUUAAAUGUAGAUUGACAGGUUUGGAAACAGACUUUUCUUCGGACAAUUUACAAGGUGCUGCAUGGUUGUCGUCAGCUCGUGCCGUGAGGUGUCGGGUUAAGUCCCAUAACGAGCGCAACCCCUAUCGUUAGUUGCCAACAGGUCAAGCUGGGGACUCUAACGAGACUGCCAUCGUAAGAUGANAGGAAGGUGGGGAUGACGUCAAAUCAGCACGGCCCUUAUGUCUGGGGCUACACACGUGUUACAAUGGNAACUACAAAGGGCAGCCACCUNGNNACAGGGAGCUAAUCCUAAAAAGUUNNCUCAGUUCGGA
RNAcentral lists this ribosomal RNA (797 nucleotides) under uncultured Bacteroidota bacterium. RNAcentral describes it as "bacterial SSU rRNA". It matches the Rfam family "Bacterial small subunit ribosomal RNA", at positions 494 to 1297 of the family's 1533-position model. Lineage: Bacteria; Pseudomonadati; Bacteroidota. The record is from RNAcentral.